Molecule: long non-coding RNA, 530 nt
Organism: Hibiscus syriacus
Lineage: Eukaryota; Viridiplantae; Streptophyta; Magnoliopsida; Malvales; Malvaceae
Exons: 3
Source: RefSeq, a predicted model, not a curated record
CAAAGAUUUUCUCUUUGGAAGCAAAUCGAGUUAUUUCAAGGGACAAUUGAAUUGACGAAGAAAAAACUUGGGAAACAAGCAAGUGAUAAGUUCUUUCAAGAUGCUCGUUAUGUGGUUGCUUUAGGGAGCAAUGACUUCAUUAACAAUUACUUAAUGCCGGUUUACAAUGACUCUUGGAAAUACAAUGAUCAAACUUCCUUCAAAUACUUGAUGGAAACACUUCAUAAGCAACUAUUGGAAUUACAUAAGUUAGAGGCAAGGAAAUUAAUGGUGUUUGGUCUAGGGCCAAUGGGUUGCAUACCAUUGCAAAGGUCCUAAGUACAACCGGAAAGUGCAAAGAAAGAGCAAAUAAGCUUUCUCUUAGCUUCAGUAAAGCUGCAAGCAAGUUAUUAGUUGAUUUGGAAACUCAACUUCCCAAUGCUAGCUUCAAGUUGGGAGAUGCUUACGAUGUUGUAGACAAUGUGAUUCGUAAUCCUUAUAGAUACGGAUUUGACAAUGUUGAUUCUCCAUGUUGUUCAUUGAGAAGAAUU